GGAGGAUGAACAACUGGAAUGAAGAUUUUAGACAUAGAUGAGUUGUUUAAGCAAUUUGUUGUUCAUCUUUGGUAAUUAACAUUUAGCAGCUGGGGAUACUGCUAGCACUGCUAGUCACACACUUCUAAGAGACAUCAUCAGCCCCAAAAGUACCUAUAGGAAAACAAUUUGAGCCCAUAGAGAUAGAGGUUUCCUACUGAGAAUGUGUUUCCAGUACACUGUAUGAAUUCUUGAAGCAGAAAUCAAUGAGCUUGUAUCUGGAAUUGGAGAAAUAACAGCGUGGUGUUUUGUGUUGUCAUAGGAAGCUGUCUUGGUCUACUUUGACCAGACCCUUUGCUCUGCUCACCUACACUUACAGCUUCCCACACCUGCAACAGGACGGAGCAGUGCCCCUAUCACUGACACAGGUGUUUCUAGAAACACAGAGCAGUGCUCUGUAAAAUUGGUCAUGUUUCAAAAUACAUUAACACCUGCAGGUUAGUGAACCCUCACCUCUUUCUUACCAGGUUCUGCUCAGAUACUCACGCUUUUCAACGCUUCUGAAAAAAUACCUGGCUACACUUUUCUCUUGGUUCCCUUUCCUUCCCCAGGGUAGACCACAGUACUUUAAUGGAGCUGAAGUAGCUGUGCUUUGGGCAUAAAACUGUGGGAAAUGCUGUGUUUGCUAAUGGGAUUUGACAUGACCUCUUCUGGUCUGGGUGAGAUGGCAGAGAGAAUGAAGUUUAAUAUUGAAGUAGCACAGAUAUAGAGAAGAUGCCACUGUAGGUCAUUUUGUCCUACGCUUUCGUUCAGGCAGGGCCGAAUACAACAGAUCUCUAUUCUUGAAAGGCUGUUUGACAUUUCUGUCUUCUGCAGUGGUUUGUACUCACUUGCUGAUGCAACAGCCUUUGCUCAGUUUGAAAGGUAAGGAAAGAAUAGAUAGAUGUCCUUGAUAUGCAUCAUAGCAAUAACUUCCUCUGACUGGUGUAGGUCAGUACAUCAGCGUUCAGAGCUGAGUCCUGUAGAUGAGUAGCAGUUAAAAUUCAUACAGCUUUUAAUAUGCCCUGGGGUGGCUAGAUUUUAAUUACGCUAACGCCUGCCCCUUCUCUUUGAUGUGCACUGGUUAAUUCUUUUGAUGCACUCUCACCUGUGCCGGUGAUAUUGUGCACUUGACAGGAACAGAUCAGUGUAUACCAACCCGCUUCCCAAGGCAGGGAGUCAGGCGUGCACUCAGCUGUUUCCUUUUUGUUGUGGUUAUUGUUUUAAAUGUCAUUAGUGAAGCAUGAAAAUAUUCUUUUUCUGAGGGGUUUUGAUGAAUUUGUCGUGGUCUAGAGCACAGCAAGAUGAUUUUCCUCUGCUCUGCUACCAUGUAUGAGUGGUACUUGGGUAUUUCCCCUUUUGCCCUGGAAACCAUCUGACAGUUUCUCUCUGGGCACUGGCAGCAUCUGGUAGUCUGUGGGCAUAUUUAUCUUCGUCUGAUGCCCCUUUCACCCUGCCUUUCCUUUGGCUUGUGCUGUAUUUUGCUUUUCCAUAAUAGAAUUUGCCAUUCUGUGUUCUUCUCAGGUCUGUUGUCGCUGUUGCUGUUUGACAGUGUAAAAUAGUCAGAAGGUUCUGCAGAAAAGCCUGUCAGAUGGGUUAAGCUAACGACCCCCUUAGUUAUGAUUCCUAGUGAUCUUCAGUUGAUUUGGCAGUAGAAGUAAUUUAAGAAGUGAACUGCUUAUUAAAAUGACCACUGCUGCAUAUAUCUGUACUCAGUAAUUGAUACAGAUUAGCCAGGAGUUACUGUCGCUUUUGCUAAUGGAUUAAUCCUGGAAAGCUGAAUGCUUUUUUUUUUUUCUCGGGAGCAGCUCUGAACUAAAGUCUGUAGUCGCUGCAGGCUUCUGUGUCUGUCCUGUGCAGUGUCUCCUUAUUCAGACUCCUUAAAGGAUCAAUGCAUUCAAAAUCUCUUCUGAAAGAGACACGAGCCGCGCAGUUAUAAUGGUACAUUUCAGCCGAAAAUGCCCUCGGAGCGCAGGCAUGAAAACAACCUCCCAGUUAUAAGCACAGAACAGCUGUGAGGUUUAGAAUGAAUGGGGAUUUAAUUUCAUUUUAUUCUAUAUUGCAUGUGGAAGCAUGCCAGGGCAAGCACGCUGUGCAUGCACUGUCGAGGGGCUUGCAGCAGUAGUUCUGUAUGUAAGGCAGCAGCCUCGAGUUAUUUCACCAAUUCAGUUUAGGUGUGGAUGUUCUUGGGAAUGCACGCGUUUACCAGCAGAGGGCAUGCAGGCUUCAUUCAGUGGGGACGUGCUAAUUAAUAAAUCUCAGAUGCAGGUGGGUGUGUACCUGCAUCUACAGCAUUCCCAGACAAAGCGCUCAUUCGACUGUGCCAAAAUUGCCCACUGUGGCCAUCGUGUGUUAUCUGAAACAGGCAGGAAGUGAGGAGGCAUGAAGCACAUGUUGGGAAUUACAUAAUCUGUCAUCAAACCACGGUCAUGUUUCGUGUUCGUGCUUAGUCAGACCGUGGCAGUGAUUAGGGUUGACUAAACGUUACUGUGCCUCUCAUUUUUUCCAUUGUGAGGCAUCUGCGAGCUCUGUUGAUCGUUAAAGUCUCCAUCUAGGCAGUGACUUGUAUUGUGGAUCAGGCCCGUAAUGAACUAGAGGAAGUCAGGGAGAGGGAGUCAGCAGUUUUUGUAAUAUAUUAGCAGAGGAUUACUGGGAAAUGUGAACUUAAAAGGAACGCUAUCUGCAUUUUCGGAACAAAAUCAAAGGAACCGUACUGCAGAUCUUCUGUUUUAUCCUGCCCGAUGCACUUGCAGUACAUUCAUAAUCUUCAUAAAGGAGAAAAUGAAUUGGUGAAAUAGGCUGUUUUAUGAUAAUAUCCCAUAUGUUAUCAGAUUCAUGCAGGCAGAAUCACACUAAUGAAGAGAAAUUGUGGUUUAUGUAGGGCUCGCAGGCCUCACUCAGGCAGAUUAACAGUGGCUGGGGUAAGAGGCAGCGCACUGCCUUGGCAGGCUGCCCGUGAGCUAAUCAAUGCAGAUGGAGUCAACAGGACUGCCGGUCUGAUUCCCAACAGUUUCAUCUCAGAACAGGAAUGACUGCAUCCAUCAGUGCUCCUUGAUAAGGCAUCCUUUAAGCUCGGGCUCAUCGCACAGAAGAGGUGCCCAUCCCCCUGUGAGAGCAGCUGCCCAGUGCUCAAGUACAUCCCAGGCUGGAUAUCCAUCGUUCCUCAGGGUGGCACUGGAAGCGACGAAGGGCUCAAUGGGUGCUGGAAAGACCAAUGUGUUAUUGACUGAUCUGUCCUCGGUAUGAACUCUGAUUAAAGCAAGUAUUUCCCAAAUUUUGGAUGAAAGAGCUUGUAUACAAAUAAAGGCAGGAUGAGUGCUCCUUGGGAUGGUGUGACUGCAUAAAUAAGCAGUUCUUCAGUGCAGCAUGUGGUUUUCUCAUUUCCAGUAAAACUGAAUGAAUCACACAUGACAGCACCACCGCCACUAACCAGUGUGGCAUGGCAUCUGAGAAAGAUAGCGCUGGAAGGGUGUGAACUGGAGAGCAGAUGAUGGGCUUUGAAACAACUUGUUUGCUUUGGCAGGAUAACUGAAAUCUUGAUGCUUUCCCACAAUCUGCUCUAAGGAUGUAGGUUUUUGCUGUGCUGUAUCAGAUUAUUACUCUGGGAAUUUGUGUGUCCUGCCUUUGCCAGUGGACAGCCCUCGAUGCUUCAGAUAAAUUCCCAGAUUCCCCACAGGGGAAUUCCAAAGUUAGAUGAUGUUUCUUCAAGUGGGGUUUACAUUACUGCAGAAUUACCGGGGGUAAUUCUCUCUCCCAUACCAAAUCAUAAAGGAUCCAUCUACUCAGUCAGGCAAACAAAGGUCCAAGGCUGCUCAGGUUCAGGCUCACAUACCAUACAUUCUAUUUAUAUGUAAGUACAUGCUCUGGUAUGAGCCUUAGGUCAAGUGCACUCCAGAGGGAUGUCCUAGCCUUGGCCAUAUCCUAGCCCAGCCCUAAGCUUUGUCACCCCGGAGGUGGGACCAGGCUGGAACUGGGAGCACUGCAGCUGCCAGGAGUGGAUCUGGUGGUUUCCCUGCUCUUUGAGCACAAGAGCCAUGUGAACCCCAGUCAGGUGAGAACCAGCUCUGUGGCAUAUGGGCCGUGGCCUUUGACCAGCUCAAGCACUCUCCAUGUUGUUGAGGCAGCAGCAGUUCUCCAGUUCUCAGCUAAAGCUGAGCAGACAGCCGUCCUUUGACCUCCAUACCAGAGCUCUGUUUCUGACCCUGCUUGGCAGUGCAGCCUCGCAGCAGCAGAACUCCCCAUGCCAACAGCUGCUUAACCCUAGCUCUGAGAUGACACAUCUCAAAAGGUGGGGGCCUAAAUUAAAGAGAUUAAAAGAAAAACAACCCCCUUCUCUUUAUGUCUUUUCUCAUGCCUUCAGAAUUAGGAAUCAAAUCUUCUGAUGCUAAUACAGAAGAAAAACUGAAGCUUCUUGUCCAGGAUGUCUGCUUGUGAAAGGCAGGUGGGAAGAGGAUGCAAGGAGACUUUUUUCUCCUCCUGACAUUCCCAAACCCAGUGCUUCCAAGUACUGUAUUGUACAAAGCUAAUGAUGAUGUGCUAGGCAUCCAGCAGUAUAUUUUCAUGGGGUUACGUUGUUCCUCCAUCAGCAAGGUCUGUACUCAGGGCUCAGUAAUAACAGCAGCAUAAGCUGCAGUUUCAUGUCCUGUGAUUGGAGAUUGGCUGUGACAGAAAUGCCUGUCGUCCUCGCAUCUGAUGGAGGCAGAAGGGUAUGUGAAACAAUGGCUCUGCCAGCAGAUGUGGUUCUGUAGGGACAGUGGUGUCUGUGGUACGAAAGUUCCCUCCCGAAAUACAGAUCUGUGGGAACAGUGAGUGUCUGUGUCAGUGACAACUUUGCAGCAUCUGCUGGGACAGUAAUGUCUGUGAUACUUAAGUGUAUCUCUGCAUCUGCUGGGUCAGUCAGAGAGAGAUGUAUUGUGUAUGUCCAGUCUUAGAUGUGAAAAUCGCCUUCACUUCCCUUUAAUCUGGGGAAUCUGUUUGAUUCUUUUUCCCACAGUGUGAAUAAGAACCAUUUGAUGCACGAAGAGCUAAAGGUAUUUAUGAGCCUUUUCCAUGUAGGAGAGGCACUGCCACACUGCAGCUGCCAAGAAAUACUGCUACAUUUUCUCCUACCGUAGUAUUAAUCAUUAAUGGUUUUGUCCUCAAUGAACAGCCCGAGUAUCUUCAAUGAUGCUCUUGUGAGUGCUAACGCUUUGUGGUUGCAGUGAGAGCAUCACGUGAGAAAUCUGUUUGUUUAGAGCAGAGAUGCACCACAACCACAGCGUUCUCAGACCAGCUUUCAAAUGUUCCUACAGACAGUUGUAUGCAGAUAAAGAUUUUUACUUUGGGCCCAUGUCUGGUUUAGGCACCAGACUCACGUUAAGCAGGAUUGUGCUGGAGAUGGUCAGUUUUCCCACAGAAGCCGUUCCAUUUGGAUGUCAGGGGAAUCUCGCUACAACAAAGGCUGAUGUGGAGGGUUUUUUCCUCAAACAGAGAUAGAUGCAAAAGGUUCUGCCUCAAGGUUAUCCAUUGUACACUAUAUUGACUGGAUGUUUAAACACCGCGCUUCAUGCAGAGACAGAAAUGAAUGAUGAUCAAUGCUUAUCAAUUAAAAUCUAAUCCUAUCCCCCCUGUAUUUGCAUGCUGAACUUUGACCUACAAGCAAUUCUCUGACAAGAAUUAAAUCUCCUUUUACCAGAGAGUGCUGGAAUUAUGGUCAGGGCUGUAAUAUUCACUCAUUUAUUAUGAGUACUGCAUUUGUGCCUAGAGUUUGCUGAGGCAUUUUGCAUAUUUAUGGUCUCUUACAAGGGAGUUUAUAAACAAUUAGCAUUAAAGGGCAAUUGUGUUAUCCUUCUGAUAACAGGGCUAAGACUGGCAGGAGGGGAAGUGAAGACUACGUGUUUUAUGGCUGUAAUUUAAAUUAACUAUUUCAGAGAUUGAAAGUAAAUUAAAAUAUAAUUUACUAUUUCCUAGAUUAAAACUGAUGGAGAAAAAACCCUCCGUUAUGAGCACUCUCAGAUCUAUGCAUCAUCUAGCUCAGUCUAAACACACAGAUAUAAAUCCUUUUUUAAAUCUAUCUACUACCUAAUAGCCCAGGCCCAGCACUGUGAUAGGUAUGUUAUAGAUAGGAGAUGCCAGCACUGCAUCACCCACUGAGCGCCGGCCCAAGGGCCCUGGUAACAAAGAGCUCCAAUCCCGCUCAGCGCAGUGCUGCACUGAGAGCUGCGCACAGAGCAGCCGGGAGGCUGGGCCUGCUGCAUCAUGUGAGAGCGGGGGGAAGGCAGGAUGGAUUUUCAGAUCUGAACUCUGGUCGGCACUAUUGCUGAACACCGUUUAACUGGCUGCGCAGUGCGAUAACCUUUGUUCUUAACCGAGAGGCAGAAUGGAGCACUAAAUGAAGGAGGCCACUUAGACUCCAAGUGGAGAGCUUUAAAAUGGGCAGCUGUUCUAGCUGGUUACUUCUGAUUUAUUAUAAAGGCAUCUGUGGGCGUUGUCAAUUGUCUUCCAUCAGUCGUGUUAAACAAAACUGCAUUCUUAUAAGGCAGUUUAUCCUCUGCACACAGCCACGCUCUGAUCACUGCUGUCAAACACACAGCAAAUGCACGCGAAGAAAGCAGAGCGUGUGAUGACUGUCACAAAACCCUUUUUCAUUUUAAUAUACCAGAAAGAAGCAUGUUAGUAAAGCCAUUAGCAACUAGCAGCACCUCACAGCCUCAGUGUUUUUUGAGACCCAACAUGACUGUUAAAGGUCUGAGGCUUUCUGGAUUGGGCAAAAUUCUUUUGAUGACUUGUCACAGAAGAUCUUUGCUUUAUUAAAAGCAAAAACAAACCCUGCAAAUUAGUUUUGUAAGAAGGAGAGGUGUAGAGAUACAGGGAUGGAAGCACCUAUGGAGAAAACCAUCAGCACCAUCUCCCUGUUUGUAUUUCUUGAUGUGACAUUCAGUAUCACGAGGGAAAGGGGCAACUCUGCAUCUUCCCCACCCCUGAGCUGCUUCCAUCCCCUGGAUGCGUCACAAAGUCACUCACUAUUCCAUCACCUUUUUAUUUCUUCUAGUUUGUUAACACAGCCACAGUGUAUGGAGAGUUCUGCCCAUCCCUCAGCACCGAACACCCAAAAUGGAUGGAACAGAUGUUUUCAGCUGCGGUUCAGAUUCUGGAUGAAUUGUUUAUAAACAUCUCGCCUAGAAGUGUGAAGGGGCUGAGCUGGUAUCAUCAAAGAUGACAAAUUCUGCCACGGCGCUCUUAGAUUUAAUGGCUACUGAAUGUAGGUUAAUAUGGGAUUCAAUAGGAAAUCUGGCUUCUGUAUCGUUAAGUAUUACAGGAAACGAAGGAACUUGUCAGUCGUCUGCAGAUUGCUAAUUGCUACUUAUUGCAGAGGCAAGAGUUUAAUUUGGGUGCGUUAUCACGGUAAUAGUGUGCACUACCCUGGGGAAAAACAAAAACCUCUACUCCUAAUCUGAGUGAUAAUCUGACCUGUGGGAUUUGGGACCUUAUUUUGCAAGAUUAUGGUAAAUAAGAACUUCACAGUAAGUGGUGUAACAGUAUGCAGUAGUGUCCUGCAGGGUGGGGAUGUGGGCUAGAGUAUAGUAGCGACUCUCCGGUAUGAAAGUGCCUCUUUCCUUGUCCCUUAAUUUAGCCAUUCCUGAGCUGCACAUGAUUUAUUCUUCGUGAAGAUGCAUCAAAAAUGCAGAUCUCGUCUAUUCUAAAUGAAAAUCACAUCCUAUUAUUAUUGUUAAUGCUUUGUAUUUAGAGUAGUGUCUAAAGGCCUGGGAUUAAUUCGCGACCUCUUCAUGCUCGGAGCUGUGCAUACACACAGUAAGCUCAUUGCCCCAAAGACCUUACACUUUAAUUAAAUAAAGGUUGGAGGAAGGAAGUUUUAUUACCUCUGUCACAAAUGGGAAAUGAUAAAAGAGAGAAACUUAAAGGACUGAGAAUUACACUCCUCCUGCAAUAAGUCCUGUAUUUGCCUGUAAUAUAUCCUCCCUUCCUGCUUUUGUUAACUUGCUGUUAAUUGGUAGCUGCUUGGUCUCUCCCCCAGAGAUGGACUUGACUAUAAUUCUGCAUAUUGUUCAAGGUUGUAUGGGAUGAAAAGGAUUAUAGACACAGAUACUCUUUAAUUUAGAUCUGAUCAAGUUAUUCUGAGGAAAUAUUUCACAUAUUCAUUCACGUGAGCCUUGUGUGCACUGCUUGUUGCCACCUAAGCAUGCUAGUGUGCCUAUAGACUGAGUACACAUUUUAAUGCACAGCAGCAUUAAACCAUGCUGUUGUUCUUAUUCCAUAUAGUUUGCUCUCAGAUAUUUUCAUAAAUGGUUAGAAAUAGCCCUCAAGAUGUUGGACAAUUCCACAGGGUUCCUAGGAGGCUUAAAACACCAGCGCACUCUUAGUCUGCUGGUCUGCUUCUUCCUUACCAGAAAGCUUCUUCUACAGAAGGGGCUAAAUGUAAUUAUAGAUAUUUUAAAUUAGAUCUUCCAGCUUAACAUUAAAAUAUAAAGCUAAAUCUGUACAGAUCUUGCUUGAGAAUGACAUUUUCUUUGGAGAGGAACAUAAAUGUGAGGGUAACUUGUUUUCCUUUUGCUCAUCAGUCUGAGUGUGGACAAUCCGUGUGGGGAGCUGGGAUAGAAACUCAGCCACAUGUUUAGAUGUGAGGGGAAGCGGGGGAGAAGAAAGGAGAACAAAACAAAACAAGGAACGGGUAAAAUCUAAGUACAUUCCAACCACUCUGCUCAUAUCUUUGCAUUUUGGUGUUUCAGACAUCAACAAGAGUAAUCCUUUAUAUUGAAGUGCCUUUGUCUCAAGGGUGGAGUCCCCUCACUUCUGUCCUAUCCUGCUCCGUCUGCUAAAUGGGUACAGAUAUUUUCUGUCAGAUUCCAGGUUCCCGGAGUUAAAAAGACUCCAGAGUUCUCAUUUUUAUUUAAUAAUAAGGAGCAUUAUCUCUACUGCCGUUGAAGGUUAUGUCCAUCUGCUUUUUGUUUUAAAAAGAUGUUCAGUGCUCAGAAAUAGCAACAUGUCUCAGGCUCCUUGAGCUUUUCUAAUAGAUCAUUCUUCCUCACAGACACCGUCGCUGCUGGGAGUGUAAGUGUGCAAAGUAAGAAACCUUUAAAGGUUUAAAUCCCUGCCAGGCAGGGGGGUUGGAACUACAUGAUCCUUGAGGACCCUUCCAACCCGGGUCAUUCUGUGAUUCUGUAAAGCAUGAAACUACAGAAUUUCCUCAGCUGAGGGGACGACCUCAGCACAUGGGAAAGGACACCCCCAGAGUAAAUGCCCUUGAUGGAAAACAAUCCGCUGGGGCUUUGUUACAAAGCAUGCAAACAUCCUGAGGAAGUGGCAGUCGUUGGCAAUAAACACAGCAUGUAAACGACUACCUGCAUCUCGUUAGCUGUUUGUGGGGCAGCUGCCCGACUUGUAAACUCCCGUCCCCGUCCACCCGGAUACUAUAAAACAAUCGGUGUUUGGUUUCUCUGGGGUUAAGAGUUCUGCCCGUGAUAGCUGGCAAGGGCACAGAGAACACGGGCUCUUUAGCGGUGGGUAUGUGGAGAAAACCUGGAGGGCUGUAUUUUUACGAGGGCAGUGGCCGCAAUAUCCCUCCAGCAGCACAUAGGAAGGCUUUUGUAGCAGGGAACCUGCAUUAAGAGCUGCUGUGGGGUGGGGACAGUGGGAGCAAGCAUGAGGUGUGGGUGUGUAAGGCCCGGCGGGAGGCAGCGCGCUUUGUCGUCUGGCGCCUGAAGGAACAGCGCUGUAACCCGCCCCGCUGAGGGCCGCAGUGAAGCGGGGCUCGAGGCCUCCACACCCCCCACACGGCGCCGUAGGGAGCCCUGAGGGACGGCCCUGUCCCUUCCCGGCUCCUCGGUUCCCUCAGGCCGAUCUCGCUCCGCUGAGGGCGCCGUGCCGGUCCCGCAGUGCGCAUGGCAGGGGGGAGGGGAGCGCAGGCGCGAUGUAGGCGCUCUGUGGCGGCGGUGUGGCCGGGGCGCUGCCUCCUUCCCGAGCGGUGCAGCGCUCCUUAACGCGGAGACAAAGCGCUGCACCGACACACCCCCCUCCGUAG
Molecule: non-coding RNA, 10036 nt
Organism: Coturnix japonica (Japanese quail)
Lineage: Eukaryota; Metazoa; Chordata; Aves; Galliformes; Phasianidae
Source: RefSeq, a predicted model, not a curated record